AAGACCUUGCGCUUUUGGAGCGGCCGAUGCCUGAUUAGCUUGUUGGUGAGGUAAAAGCUCACCAAGGCUUCGAUCAGUAGCUGGUCUGAGAGGACGACCAGCCACACUGGGACUGAGACACGGCCCAGACUCCUACGGGAGGCAGCAGUGGGGAAUUUUGGACAAUGGGGGCAACCCUGAUCCAGCCAUGCCGCGUGAGUGAAGAAGGCCUUCGGGUUGUAAAGCUCUUUCAGUUGGGAAGAAAAGGUUACGGUUAAUACCUGUAACUCAUGACGGUACCGACAGAAGAAGCACCGGCUAACUACGUGCCAGCAGCCGCGGUAAUACGUAGGGUGCGAGCGUUAMUCGGAAUUACUGGGCGUAAAGGGUGCGCAGGCGGUCUUGUAAGUCAGAUGUGAAAUCCCCGGGCUUAACCUGGGAACU
RNAcentral lists this ribosomal RNA (423 nucleotides) under uncultured bacterium. Its description in RNAcentral is "bacterial SSU rRNA". It matches the Rfam family "Bacterial small subunit ribosomal RNA", at positions 207 to 622 of the family's 1533-position model. The record is from RNAcentral.